CUCUUUUACAACAUUUGAUGACACACCCCGUCCCGAAGGAGGGUGUGCUGGCCGUCACGUGAGAGUGACGUAACCAUUUACACAGUUCGGAAGCUCUUAAAAUACAAUUACUAAAUGGAAACCCCCGAGGGUGAGUCCUACUUUUGUGAAUUCUGUCAGAACGCCGUUGGGUUCCUCGUGGCCACCAAAGCUCUGCUAACUUAAACCUGGAGGGGCGAAAAACAAAAUUGAGUGGGUCAGUAAAACCAAAGCUUUUCAAAAACAUUUCGCCAAAAAUAAUUCUAACCCCUCUCCGUAAAACCUGUAUACUUUCCCAGAAAAUAGUAUAUAUAAACAUAUAUAUAAGCAAAUAUCUCAAAUCACUAUCCUUUAACACUUUUCAGAAAAAUAUGUCAUGCCAAGUGUCCAAAAACAUAAUAUAGAUGCAUCAAUAUAAAUCAGGUGAAAAUAAAUCAACCGGAGACCCUGAAGUGGUCCUGUACGGCUGAUUCUAAAGCUCAACAUCCAAUCCAACCGGAGUCACCUCGUGACCUGUACGGUUCAACUCUGCAUGUCACUCGGAACUACAUAUAGUAGUCUGUACGAUGAUAGGUGUAUAAAUACGCUCUAGUGCUUCUCUCAUCAAUCAUCAGCGCGCAUAACUAAGGUCACCCACUAGUCGGAAUCACAUUUAGUGAUCUGUACGACUAGCAUGUCGGAACCCUCACAUCGUCUGUACGACAUCCACCUACUUGGAUCCAAGACGAGCGUGCGGUGUGGUGAAUAACAAUAUAAGCACUAUCACCUAGGUACAGGUCAUGAGCUUUCAAUGCAAUCCAUGAUAAAUAACUCAGCUGAAAAUAAAUAAACUCACCUGAGCGUCCACCGCGUCAUUUCACACACAUAUAUAUAUAUAUAUAUAUAUAUAUAUAUAUAUAUAUAUAUAUCAAUUAUCAAACUAAAUAUCUCAACAGUUUCAUGCAUGGCAAUUAGAUUCAUAAUUUUCACAUAAACGUAUUUUCUGGGAAAAACAGUUGUAUAUAGGUAAAUACGAAAUCAAAACUGCCCACUCACCUGGAGUUCGCCCUACAACUCUCUAGCACAAUACGCCAAGGCGUCAUGAUGAUCGGUGCCUAAAACAAUAAUCAAACCCAACCUCAGAAUUCAUAUCGAGAGAAUAUAUAACUUGUAUAAAAUACGUCACUACGUAGUUCGAUCCGGAAGAUCCGCCACUCAUAUUUUAAAUCCAUAACUUCCAGAGGUCCACAAUAUAUCUCUAGGAUAACAUCCUAAAAUUUCAUUACCAUCCAACGGUCGGAUCUCCGUCAAUUAACAAAACUAAGUGACGGUUAACAUUCUAUAUUAUGGACUUACAACUCUAAUUCCGGAAGAUCCGUAAAUCGGAUUCCCAAUCCGUAAGUUCCUAUAAUCCUCAAAUAUUACGUAUUACAACGUAUCAAAGUUUGGUGAUGAUCCAACGGUUGGAUCAUCAAUUCACAUUUUUACCUAAAUACGAAAACUAUAAAACGUUAUUUAAACACCUAACCAACAAUCCUUAAUAACUUCUCAUACGGUGCUCAAUUUGGGUAUAUGAAUAUACCACAUUGACCUACUCGACGUCACGGACGUCGACAAAUUUUUAAAAUAAUUGUUUACUGUGGCACGCGCCCCCACGCGCCCAGGAAGGCACGGGUCCAUGCGCGCCCACGCGCACCUUCUUCCUCGCGAGUUCGCCGGACUGGUUUUUCCGGUGGCCGGAAAACUGGGGAAUUUUCAAAUGCUUCGUUCUCCUUCGUUUCUCAACCAUUUUCUUCGUAUAAUAUAUCAAUUUAAAGCCCUCAACAUGUAGAAUCCAAGCAACUAAAUCUCACCGGAAAAAUCCAAGCAAAACCGGCCAAACUUAACCCUCGUGAUCCCGACGUCCAAAUCCUUCCAACGAAGCACUCCGAGCUUCCUUGGGACCUCACUAAGCUCACUAUGAGCUUGGAUUGUCCUAAAAAUCAACCAACAAAAAGUUCAUGAAUAGUGCCAAACUCGGACCUCGAGUUUUCAACGUGAAAACGAAGGAUUCCUUGCCUGAAAAUGGUGUCUUUGGGUUCUUAGAGUCUUCACGAGCACAAUGGUGCCCUUGGCACCUUCGAUCCGUGAAGUUUCAGGGUUUUGUGGUGAGGUCCGUACAUUUUGAGAAAGAGAGAGAGAAACUGAGAGAGUAGUGAGGGAGGAGAGAGAGAAGGCACGGGGGAAAGAGGGAGGUCUUGAGCGAGUGUGUGGUCCAACCACAACCAUACAUGCCAAAUUUAAUCCCUACCCACACAAAAUACAAUCCAAAUUUAAUCCAAACUUAUAAAAUUAAUCCAAAUAACGUCACACCCACGUACCUUAAUACCUGCUAAGGGUAAAUCCGUCUUUUCACGUCCUCGAUGAAUAAAAUCCCAGGACGGGCUGUGACAUUUGAUCAAAUCAAAUUACAAUCAAAAUCUAAUCUACACAUGCCCAUGGUUCAAACAAAUUUGAAACGGCCUUUCUGACACACCCCGUCCCGAAGGAGGGCAUGCUGGCCGUCACGUGAGAGUGACGUAACCAUUUGCACAGUACGGAAGCUUUAAGAUACAAUUUAUAAGUUGAUACACCCGAAGGUGAAUCCUAAUUUUGUCCAUUCUGUCAGAACACCGUCGAAUUCCUCUUAGUCACCACACCUUUGUGAUUCCUGAACCUGGAGGGGCGCAAAACCAAAAUUGAGUGGGUCAGUAAAACAAAUCUUUUCAAAUCCAACUUUUCUCAAAACAUUGUAACCCCUCUCCGUAAAACUUGUAAACUUUCCCAGAAAUGUAAAAUAUAAAUAUACAUAUAUAUUCUCAAAACUUCAUUUUUACUAUCUCAACAUUUUUCUUUAUCAAUCAUGCCAUGCCAUGUCUAAUUCAAUAGUUAAGUAUGGAUGCAUCAACAAUAAUCAUAUCAAGUGCAAGAAAGUAAUCAACCGGAGGCCCUCUAAUAGCCCUGUACGGUUGAACCUAGAGCUCAAAAUCUAUCACUCUCACUCUGCCGGAGUCACCUCUGUGACCUGUCCGGCCUUCUGCACAUAAGUCGGAACCACCUAAUGUAGUCUGUACGACUUAAUGGUUAAUAUUACGCUCUAGUGCUUUCUCAUCAAUCAUCUGUGCACAUAAUCUAAGGUCACCCACCAGUCGAAAUCUCACUAACACUCUAUGACUGGCCCGUCGCACCCACUCCGCGUGGACUGUGCGACCAACAUCUACUUGGAUCCAAGGCGAGCGUGCGAUGCGGUGAAUACUAUAAGCACUAAACCAUGGUGCAGGAUUUGAGCUCAAUAUACAUCAACAUCAUCAUAACAGUAAUUAAAUACUCACCUGAUACUCACC
Molecule: long non-coding RNA, 3359 nt
Filed under: Malus domestica (apple)
Lineage: Eukaryota; Viridiplantae; Streptophyta; Magnoliopsida; Rosales; Rosaceae
Description: long non-coding RNA (MDOM_LNC015793)
Source: RNAcentral